CUCCCUAUGCUUUCAUGAGUCU
RNAcentral lists this microRNA (22 nucleotides) under Ptychodera flava. RNAcentral's name for it is "Pfl-Mir-4830-P7_3p* (star (passenger))". Lineage: Eukaryota; Metazoa; Hemichordata; Enteropneusta; Ptychoderidae. The record is from RNAcentral.